GGAAACCAAAAGUAAAUCCACGAGAGUUUGUUCAAAGUGGACAAUAUCAUACCAUUAUGGAGGGUCCGUGAUUCCUAAGAAGAUAGUCAUUCUAUGGAUGCAAAUUCUGUUAAUUCAAAUGGUAACUUCCAUCAAUCACUGAUACUGCCAUCUUUGAGGAACAUUAUAUAUUUUCCCCUUGUGACAGAGAAACGUCGAGGAACCUACUUGACCGUGGACACGAGAAAUAUCCGGUCCCAUAUCGAGAAAUUCUGUAUAAUAUUGAUGUAUCAAUGGCGUUGAUGGUCUGCAUCUGUUGCGAUAUGGUCAUUCCUCAUUUCCAAAAGUGAAGACUAUCCCUACAAAUCAACUCGAGUUCUUUCAGCAUGGUUAGUCUUUACUUACAUGCAUUUUAGGAAAAUUCCUAAGAGGUCACCAAACAUAAAAUUGCUCUAAACGAAGCACGCUUAAUCAUGGAAUUCCUAUGAUUAAACCACCAAAAAGGAAGAUGCACGACUUUCAAUUCUUUUAAGCAUUUCUUAGUCAUUAUAUCUUCAGGAUUACUCUCGUUCGGAUGUGGUCUCAAUUCAUUCAUAUACCCUUCCUUUAUUCAGCUGUCACACUUCAAAUGCAUUUUGAACGAGUACUAAUAUCAUUGUUAUGUUUAUAUGAAUCCGGAGU
Long non-coding RNA from Cucurbita pepo subsp. pepo (vegetable marrow), 660 nucleotides. RefSeq lists it as uncharacterized. Lineage: Eukaryota; Viridiplantae; Streptophyta; Magnoliopsida; Cucurbitales; Cucurbitaceae. The record is from RefSeq and is a predicted model, not a curated record.